This 568-nucleotide ribosomal RNA is filed under the name uncultured bacterium. RNAcentral's name for it is "bacterial SSU rRNA". It matches the Rfam family "Bacterial small subunit ribosomal RNA", at positions 202 to 790 of the family's 1533-position model. The record is from RNAcentral.
AAAAACCCAGGUGGUGUGAGAUGGAUCCGCGUCUGAUUAGCCAGUUGGCGGGGUAACGGCCCACCAAAGCGACGAUCAGUAGCCGACCUGAGAGGGUGACCGGCCACAUUGGGACUGAGACACGGCCCAAACUCCUACGGGAGGCAGCAGUGGGGAAUAUUGCACAAUGGGCGCAAGCCUGAUGCAGCGACGCCGCGUGAGUGAAGAAGUAUCUCGGUAUGUAAAGCUCUAUCAGCAGGGAAGAAAAUGACGGUACCUGACUAAGAAGCCCCGGCUAACUACGUGCCAGCAGCCGCGGUAAUACGUAGGGGGCAAGCGUUAUCCGGAUUUACUGGGUGUAAAGGGAGCGUAGACGGCGACGCAAGUCUGGAGUGAAAGCCCGGGGCCCAACCCCGGGACUGCUUUGGAAACUGUGCUGCUGGAGUGCAGGAGAGGUAAGUGGAAUUCCUAGUGUAGCGGUGAAAUGCGUAGAUAUUAGGAGGAACACCAGUGGCGAAGGCGGCUUACUGGACUGUAACUGACGUUGAGGCUCGAAAGCGUGGGGAGCAAACAGGAUUAGAUACCCUGG